RNAcentral lists this ribosomal RNA (662 nucleotides) under uncultured Cyanobacterium sp. Its description in RNAcentral is "bacterial SSU rRNA". It matches the Rfam family "Bacterial small subunit ribosomal RNA", at positions 99 to 795 of the family's 1533-position model. The record is from RNAcentral. Lineage: Bacteria; Bacillati; Cyanobacteriota; Cyanophyceae; Chroococcales; Geminocystaceae.
CGGACGGGUGAGUAACGCGUGAGAAUCUGCCCUCAGGAGGGGGAUAACGGCUGGAAACGGCCGCUAAUACCCCAUAUGCCGCGAGGUGAAAUGAAUUUCGCCUGAGGAUGAGCUCGCGUCUGAUUAGCUAGUUGGUGGGGUAAGAGCCUACCAAGGCAUCGAUCAGUAGCUGGUCUGAGAGGAUGAUCAGCCACACUGGGACUGAGACACGGCCCAAACUCCUACGAGAGGCAGCAGUGGGGAAUUUUCCGCAAUGGGCGAAAGCCUGACGGAGCAACGCCGCGUGAGGGAUGAAGGCCUCUGGGCUGUAAACCUCUUUUAUCAAGGAAGAAGAUCUGACGGUACUUGAUGAAUAAGCCACGGCUAAUUCCGUGCCAGCAGCCGCGGUAAUACGGGAGUGGCAAGCGUUAUCCGGAAUUAUUGGGCGUAAAGCGUCCGCAGGCGGUCUUGUAAGUCUGUCGUUAAAGCGUGGAGCUUAACUCCAUUUCAGCGAUGGAAACUGCAAGACUAGAGUGUGGUAGGGGCAGAGGGAAUUCCCGGUGUAGCGGUGAAAUGCGUAGAUAUCGGGAAGAACACCAGUGGCGAAGGCGCUCUGCUGGGCCAUAACUGACGCUCAUGGACGAAAGCCAGGGGAGCGAAAGGGAUUAGAUACCCCUGUAGUC